CAAUAGCGUAUAUUAAAGUUGUUGCGGUUAAAAAGCUCGUAGUUGGAUUUCUGCUGAGAACGACCGGUCCGCCCUCUGGGUGUGUAUCUGGCUCUUUCUUGGCAUCUUCUUGGUGAACGUUGCUGCACUUGACUGUGUGGAGCGCUACCCAGGACUUUUACUUUGAGGAAAUUAGAGUGUUUCAAGCAGGCAUACGCCUUGAAUACAUUAGCAUGGAAUAAUAAGAUAGGACCUCGGUUCUAUUUUGUUGGUUUCUAGAGCUGAGGUAAUGAUUAAUAGGGAUAGUUGGGGGCAUUCGUAUUAACGCGUCAGAGGUGGAAUUCUUGGAUUGCGUUACGACGAACUACUGCGAAAGCAUUUGCCAAGGAUGUUUUCAUUGA
This 380-nucleotide ribosomal RNA is filed under the name uncultured eukaryote. RNAcentral's name for it is "partial 18S ribosomal RNA". It matches the Rfam family "Eukaryotic small subunit ribosomal RNA", at positions 592 to 976 of the family's 1831-position model. The record is from RNAcentral.